Molecule: ribosomal RNA, 253 nt
Filed under: uncultured bacterium
Lineage: Bacteria
Description: partial 16S ribosomal RNA
Rfam family: Bacterial small subunit ribosomal RNA
Source: RNAcentral
UACGUAGGGGGCAAGCGUUGUCCGGAUUUAUUGGGCGUAAAGAGCUCGUAGGCGGUCUGUCGCGUCUGCUGUGAAAACUCAGGGCUUAACCCUGAGCUUGCAGUGGGUACGGGCAGACUAGAGUGCGGUAGGGGAGACUGGAAUUCCUGGUGUAGCGGUGAAAUGCGCAGAUAUCAGGAGGAACACCGGUGGCGAAGGCGGGUCUCUGGGCCGUAACUGACGCUGAGGAGCGAAAGCAUGGGGAGCGAACAGG